GUCCCGCCAAAUCCAAAAGUUCAAAAUGAAUGACAACGUUCCCAAUUGUUUGGCUUUAAAUAAGGCUUUCUGAAGACAUGUCGACCACAAAAGACAUCUAUGAAGGAUGUUUUUAGCAGGGAUUUGUUGGCAACAUGGAGUAAAGGGUAAAAGGGGACUGAACCUGGAUGGCUACAUAAAGAUCAAAUUUCUACAUACCGAGGAAUAUACGCCGCCAGGAGGCCCAGGGGGUCCAGGAGGCCCGGGUGGCCCGGGUGGUCCUGCAAUCACCGCACCCGCUCCGCUACCGCUUCCAACCACGACUGGGCCGGGGGGACCAGGAGGCCCAGGGGGUCCCAUCACGCCGUUAUUGACGAAGAAUCCAAGAGGAAGCUGUUGGUUCCAAUACGCCUCCAUCCUUUCUUGGUCUGUCUGUUCUGGCUGGCCAUAUUGUUGUCCAUAUUGCUGGCCAUAGAAAGAUCGCUUCUUUAACUGGGGCUUGCGUAACGCGGGAGAACAGUUCUGUCAAGAGAAACAUGUAUAAUUUUCAUUGUUGCACAUGCGCAAGGUGAACUUACCGCGAGGGUGGCAAGACACACGCCUGCAGCGAGGCACAGGAGAACCUGUGAGGGCCUCAUGACCUGAGAGAAAAAAGGGUUUUAUUCUCAUAGAUUAAUAUCUACUCUACGUCAAUGUGCCGAGUACAGAGACGAUAACCUGUGAGGGCCUCAUGACCCGAGAGAAAAAUAGGUUUUAUUCUCAUAGAUUAAUAUCUACUCUACGUCAAUGUGCCGAGUACAGAGACGAUAACCUGUGAGGGCCUCAUGACCUGAGAGAGAAAAGGGUUUAUUCUCAUAGAUUAAUAUCUACUCUACGUCAAUAUGCCGAGUACAGAGACGAUAACCCCUGAGAGAAAAAAGAGUUUUAUUCUCAUAGAUUAAUAUCUACUCUACGUCAAUAUGCCGAGUACAGAGACGAGAACAUGUGAGGGCCUCAUGACCUGAGAGGAAAAAGGGUUUUAUUCUCAUAGAUUAAUAUCUACUCUACGUCAAUAUGCCGAGUAAAGAGAUGAGAACCUGUGAGGGCCUCAUGACCUGAGAGAAAAAAGGGUUUUAUUCUCAUAGAUUAAUAUCUACUCUACGUCAAUAUGCCGAGUACAGAGACGAGAACAUGUGAGGGCCUCAUGACCUGAGAGGAAAAAGGGUUUUAUUCUCAUAGAUUAAUAUCUACUCUACGUCAAUAUGCCGAGUAAAGAGAUGAGAACCUGUGAGGGCCUCAUGACCUGAGAGAAAAAAGGGUUUUAUUCUCAUAGAUUAAUAUCUACUCUACGUCAAUGUGCCGAGUAAAGAGACGAUAACCUGUGAGGGCCUCAUGACCUGAGAGAAAAAAGGGUUUUAUUCUCAUAGAUUAAUAUCUACUCUACGUCAAUGUGCCGAGUAAAGAGAUGAUAACCUGUGAGGGCCUCAUGACCUGAGAGAAAAAAGGGUUUUAUUCUCAUAGAUUAAUAUUUACUCUACGUCAAUAUGCCGAGUACAGAGACGAUAACCUGUGAGGGCCUCAUGACCUGAGAGAAAAAAGCGUUUUAUUCUCAUAGCUUAAUAUCUACUCUACGUCAAUGUGCCGAGUACAGAGACGAUAACCUGUGAGGGCCUCAUGACCUGAGAGGAAAAAGGGUUUUAAUCUCAUAGAUUAAUAUCUACUCUACGUCAAUAUGCCGAGUAAAGAGAUGAGAAUUUACAAGGUCAUAAAGUUCAUUUGUCUCAUUUUAAAACCUUUAAAUCUUUACUUUUACUUGCAUGAGGAAUUACAACGGACACUCAUAUUUAUAAGAGUUCUCAUUUAAAAUCAUCCACAUCUUUACUUUACACGCAUAAAGAAUGCUUCUUGACACUCAGUAUAAACCCUUUUGUAGAAUUUUCAGCCCCUGGACCUGGUUCGAGGGAUGCGUUCUAUCUUAUACCAAAUAAACGUCGUUGAAUAUUCGAUUAUUAUUUUUUUUCCUUUUUCCUUCUCAUGUGCAGCGUUAAUUGGAUAACCUGUACAUUAUUUUUGUUGACUCUCAACUUUGGCUAGUUAUGAUUGUCUUGCCAUGGUCAGCGGCAAUUAGUCUUAAGAUGCGCUCGCGGGAUUGGGCGUCACCUUGACCUAAAAUUUUUCACUCAAUUUUUUUAAAUAUUUCUUGUAAAGUAUCAUAGAUAUGGUGAACGUUUAGUUAUUGACCUUUUUACCCCAGGUUUUGUUGAGGUCUGAGGUUUUGCUUUGACAAGCAAAACCUCAGAACAAACAAACAAGCAAACACAAAUUAAUAUGUACGAUGAAUGAAUACUAGAAUAAAAUAAUAUGAUAAUAGAUUUGAUUUCCUGAGGUUAGACCCAUAACUGUUCAUCGCUUGUUCUUGUUAAGUAAUGUGUCUCUUCUUGGUCAAAAUAAAAGGUGUACAAUGAACAUCAAACGAUAGUUCUGGCCACCGAACGUUGGUUAAUUCAUCCAUAAAAAAAGAAGAUUAUUUGACAUUUUAAGUGAGUUUCACUAGGAUGGAAAACCUUUUUUCCUUAUAGCUUAAGUAUUCUCAUUCCGGCUACUAAAAACACAUUUUAACAAUUUUGGACUUGUUUUAAUAUCUAUCGCUUCAGUGAGCACCGGACUCGUCCAUUUUAACCCCACAUUUGUACCCGUGCCUCCCAUCAAUAUCCAUUUCUACAUUCACCAAUACCUCCAGAGAGGCCAAUUCUUUCACAACACUUACCUUUCAGAAACCCAAGAGUUAAAAAAUCCCACUAUAAUCAACGAAAACAGCCUUGGUAUUUCGGCUAACACUGUUAGGUCGUUUUCGCGGGGCAGCAAACGUGAGGUAAUGCUGUUGGGAUGAUCCCUGGAUUACGUCAUAAAGGAAGUCAACCGGCCCCGGCAGGUCGUUCGGGCGUGACGGUCGAAUGCUGCGCUUGCGCGAUGACCACUGCUAUUCUUCGCCGUUUCGCGACGUUGAUUUCUCAGUGAUCAUGUCACGAUUUCGAUUCUGACUUUAGAACCCUUGACUGGGGCUCUAAUACCAGCAGUUACCGUCAAACCCCCACCGGUAAAAUGAAGAUUUUUUUUUUUACUUGAACAAGAUGUUGUCUGAUUUUGUUUACGUUUGAGUUGUUUGUUGCUGUUGAGUUCCGUGUUUAGGGAGAAACAAGAUGCAGGUGAAAAUGGUCACCCGUCGUUAGCUAAGUGGGGAACAGCUGCCCUAUGUCAAGUGCUGAAUCACUGUGAUGAAAAAAGGGUCAAGACAGAAACUGCAGUCAGAGGGAGGGGUGGGGGUAUUGGGUCCGCUCCCCCCAGCAGUCCGCCCAGGGCAUACCAGGACCUCACUAUUUAGAAAAUGGAAGAUGGAAAGAAGAAAGGAGUCAUGAAGUGAGGAAAACAACCCCCUUAAAAAAAUAAUAGGAUAGCAUAAAAGCAUGAUUAUACCACUCCCACUUUCAGAGAGCUAGAGAUCCAGGUUUCCUUGAGGUCUCGGUUGAUAAGCUGUGCGAUUAAAAUCAUAUAUACCCCUGAGCCGGAUAAACAGCCCAUAAUCGACAUGAUAACGACAUCGUACAUCGCUUUUCUCGACGGUCAUAAAGCGGCUAAUUGUUUUAGUAGCAAAAUAUCACCUUGAAGACCAAUCCUCUUGACUUUAUUUAUCAACUACAAAAAUACGUUUUGUUUAAUCAAGAUGAUAAUGCUUACUCUCUAAGAGGGCCUAUAACUCAUAGACCACAGUAGCUAAGCCAAUCAGCGUAUGUUAUUUGGUAUAGACCAUUGAUUGUUUCCACAUGACAUUACUAACAUAGAGAACAUUAUAAAGAGAGCCAUGAAGACUAGAAAUGGGCACUUGA
This is a long non-coding RNA of Nematostella vectensis (starlet sea anemone), 3842 nucleotides long. RefSeq lists it as uncharacterized. The transcript has 5 exons. The record is from RefSeq and is a predicted model, not a curated record. Lineage: Eukaryota; Metazoa; Cnidaria; Anthozoa; Actiniaria; Edwardsiidae.